AAAAAAUGGAACUUGGAACUUCUUUCAGUGCUUCAGGUGUCAACAAGACAAUGUAUUUAUCGAACCCCAUUACCCAAAAAUCCAACUUUCUUCAAAAUUCUUGGCUAAAUCAAUUGAAUUUUUCGUUUCCAGUAAGAAAAAUCUGUUCUUGCAGAGGAAUAGCUAAAGGGUCUACUAUCAGCUCUUUGAAAACUCAAGAAAAGGUCACAGAGAUGUCUUCUAAUCAUUCUCAAGAUCUAGAACUCUCAAGUUUAACAGCUUUAUGCCCAUUGGAUGGUCGUUAUUGGGGUAAAGUCAAAG
Molecule: unclassified non-coding RNA, 300 nt
Filed under: Hevea brasiliensis (rubber tree)
Lineage: Eukaryota; Viridiplantae; Streptophyta; Magnoliopsida; Malpighiales; Euphorbiaceae
Source: RNAcentral